GCAGCCGUGGCCUACUGGUUAGGGCUUUGGGCCUGAAACCAAAGGGUUGCCAGUUCUAUCCCUGACCAGUAGGA
Molecule: transfer RNA, 74 nt
Filed under: Alosa alosa (allis shad)
Lineage: Eukaryota; Metazoa; Chordata; Actinopteri; Clupeiformes; Clupeidae
Description: tRNA-OTHER
Source: RNAcentral